UCCCAGAGCGCUAACUGUGCUCUUGGCCAUCAAACAUCACCUAAAGAGAGGAGGUGGGGAGCAGGGUCUUGAGCACCGAGCAGCUGAUCAGCUGUCCUCAGUUCUCCUUGGCAUCAAGCAUCUCAGGUUAUCGCUCCCUGAUUGUCGCUAAGAGGAUCUUCAGAUAGCUAGCCAGUAACCAUUUGCUCUCCCAUCAUCGCUCCAUGUCUUUUCUCUGGGUUACCCUAAUCUCAAGUGAACCUUCCCAGCCUGGGCUGGUGGCAGAACAAUUGGUGUAGUCGGCAGGAUCUUCCACAGCCUGGUGUGAAACCCUCAGCUCCCCCGGAAACCACACAGAAGAUUCAUGGGUUGAUUGUGCAGCAAAAAUCCCUCUGGAAUGGAGUGUGUGGUCAGAGUACAAAGACGGCCAGAUCCAGGCUUUCCACCGAGGCCUUCCACUUGCUAGUGAAUCAACAUAUGUUAUGUAAUCUACACGGGCACAGUAUACAUGUAAACAAGUAGUCUGUGUCUACAUAACUUUUUGCCAGCUUGCCAGCUUUGUAAAAUAUCAUACGUAAAAGACUUACUAGUGUUGCUCCUCAUGCUGCUGAGGUAUUAAAGGAAAGUCAGAUAUU
Molecule: long non-coding RNA, 614 nt
Organism: Fukomys damarensis (Damara mole-rat)
Lineage: Eukaryota; Metazoa; Chordata; Mammalia; Rodentia; Bathyergidae
Exons: 3
Source: RefSeq, a predicted model, not a curated record